RNAcentral lists this long non-coding RNA (384 nucleotides) under Nicotiana benthamiana. RNAcentral's name for it is "long non-coding RNA (NBEN_LNC019243)". Lineage: Eukaryota; Viridiplantae; Streptophyta; Magnoliopsida; Solanales; Solanaceae. The record is from RNAcentral.
UAACAACUAAAAUUUCGUUUCUGAAAAUAACAAUCAAGACAAGAAAUAUAGCUAAAAAAAAGUAUUUGUAUUUCAAUAAUUUUCGCCAGUUACAAUCUUUGAACAAUCUUAAGUUUAACAGAUGUAAUCCUCUUAUUCUUGUCCUCACGACCGUCAAUUCGAGAGCUUCGCUUGUUCUUGAAUUGAUGGACCACUUGUUAUUGGGAUUUGACCACGAAUGCGGAGUUAGGCUUUGAUAAAAAAUGUGGAGGACGGAAAACAUGCAGCUCACCCCUCUGGGACGACGACAUCUUGCUAUGCGGAAGACUUGCGAAUUACUAGUGUGGAGGAGAGCUUCAAUGUGUAUCUUUUUUCUUGUCCCUUUGGUCUUAUGGAGACCCCUAU